AAGGAACAAAGAAAAGAAAGAACAGAGACAUUCGAAACAGAGCAGGAAGAAAAGGGGAAAGAAAAGAAAAAGGAAAAACUAAAAGUUUAAGGUUUAAAGCUUUGAUUGGUAAGUCAUUUAAGUCCUUUCUAUUUAAUUUUGAUGUUUUAGAAGUCUUAAAACAAGGUUUUGAUGAAAUUAAUUUGAUAGUUUGAAAGUUUAAAAGCUUUUAAACAAAGUUCAUGUUGAAGAAAAAGAAGAAUUAGGGAUUUAAUUGAAUGAAUUUUAAGUUAGAAAUUGAAAAAGGGAUUAAAUUGUAAAAGAAGCUAUAAGUUUUGUGUUUUAGGAAAUUAAAUUGAAAGAAUUUUUAAAUUAGGGUUUUAUAAUGAACAUUAGAUUGUUAGGGUGAACAUGGAAGGAAAUUGAGUAGAAAUGAAGUAUAAAUUAAGUUAAACAAAUAAAAGAGUUAAUUAGGAUUAAAUGAGAAUUAGGGAAUAAAUUGAAUAAAAAUUCAAUUAAUUAUUAAAUUAAUGUUGUAAUUAAUAAUGUAAAUUGUUAUUAUUUUUUUUCGUAGCUAACAAAAAAAACGAGGCAUCGGCAUCUAAAGGAAAAGAAAAGAUCGUUGAGGAGUAAACUCGUAUUCCGGGUUUGUAUUACUAUAACUCAAACUAUUUAUUAAAUGUAUAUUGAAUUUAUAGAUAUGGAAUAAUUAAGAUAAGGUAACUAUUAUAUUUAAAUUUAAAUAUAAGUAUGUGUGAAAAUUAAUUUGUAUAUGAAUUAAGAUAAUAGAUAUUAGAAUUGAUUGAGUAUUGAAAAUUUUUGUGUAAAUGAAAUUGAAAUUAGAAAAGUAAAAUAAUACCCUAUUAACUUGUCGGACUAGAUUUGAUACAAAUGGCAUGCCAUUGGAUUUGUGAUGUGAUGAGGAGAUUGUAGUUUGGCCGAGAAGAUGUUUCUAUUAUUAUAUACUUCGGUUUAUUCGAAUAGGCAAUUAAUGCAUUACUGGUGUGUUAUGGAGGAUUUAUAAUAUUCCGGGUGUGUUUGGGUUGGUUAUUCUAGUGUGUUUGGGUGGAAUCCGUGUAUCUGUCAAAGUCCGAGCCUUGUUAAUUUAGGGUAAAUAAUUGAAAUGAAAUUUUGAAAAUGAGAUAUUUGUUUUGGCACUAUUGAAAAGUAUGAGAAAGAAUGUAUGAACUAACUUAUGAACUUGAGUUGGUAUGAGAAAAAAACCUGCCUUCUGAUUUAAGAUUUAUGAAGUAAUAUAAUUAUAUACUAUCCCUAGUUUUAAAAAAUAAUAAUAAUAAAUUUAUGGUUGAUGUUUGUAAUUUAUUAAUGUUAAAUAAUCUUGAUUUAUAGUAAUACUACUGAGUAUGAAAUACUCAGCAUACGGUUGUUUCAGUGCGCAGGUCAUUAGAGUUUCGGAUCCGGUCUAGAAUCCAAAACAAACCCGACUCCAACAAAAAGAUUUUGGUGAUGUAUUUCUUCCUUUGUUAAGUGGCAUGUACUAGGUAG
Molecule: long non-coding RNA, 1485 nt
Filed under: Gossypium barbadense (sea-island cotton)
Lineage: Eukaryota; Viridiplantae; Streptophyta; Magnoliopsida; Malvales; Malvaceae
Description: long non-coding RNA (GBAR_LNC003581)
Source: RNAcentral